AUACGGAGGAUGCGAGCGUUAUCCGGAUUUAUUGGGUUUAAAGGGAGCGUAGGUGGGAUAUUAAGUCAGCUGUGAAAGUUUGGGGCUCAACCUUAAAAUUGCAGUUGAUACUGGUUUCCUUGAGUACGGUACAGGUGGGCGGAAUUCGUGGUGUAGCGGUGAAAUGCUUAGAUAUCACGAAGAACUCCGAUCGCGAAGGCAGCUCACCGGGCCGGAACUGACACUGAUGCUCGAAAGUGCGGGUAUCAAACAGGAUUAGAUACCCUGGUAGUCCGCACAGUAAACGAUGAAUACUCGCUGUUUGCGAUACACGGUAAGCGGCCAAGCGAAAGCGUUAAGUAUUCCACCUGGGGAGUACGCCGGCAACGGUGAAAAUCAAAUGAAUUGACGGG
Molecule: ribosomal RNA, 392 nt
Filed under: uncultured bacterium
Lineage: Bacteria
Description: partial 16S ribosomal RNA
Rfam family: Bacterial small subunit ribosomal RNA
Source: RNAcentral